CCAGGCAGGCCUUGAACUUGAAAUCUUCCUGCCUCCAACUUCCAUUACAGGAACCAGUAUCGAUGGCCUUGGAGAGAUCAAGUGACAGAGAGAUGGAGGAUGGCCUCGGUCUGCAGCUCAGAACAGAACCCUGGUUCCUGGUCCCUGUGCCAGCUCUGACUUUCACUUCAGGAAGGACCUGAGGGUAGAAGCUAUGAAGAGCCCUAGCAGUAACCAAGACCCAGGUGGGGCCUCAUUGCCCAUCACCCCUGCCUGGGCCCAACAUGGCACCUCUCCCUGUUCUUCACCCCGCCAAGGGCUUUCUAGUUCCUCUGAGGCAAGAUUCUCUAACAUUUCACAGGCCAGGGCUUCCUGUCCAGAUGGACAUCACCCCCAGCCUGCCUCUCAUGCCAAUCCAGGGAGAAUCUUGAGCCACUGUCCUGAAUGCCAGGACCCACACUUCACUACAGUUGGACUCAACUCUCUUGCUUCAUCCUAAUCCCAGCUCAAAUAGGCCAUUAGUUAAAUUUUUCAUAUUUUAUCAUAGUUUUGAACAUUCAUUGUUAUGUUUUAAUAUUGCAUUAAUGUUGUGAUGAUUGCUUUCUGUC
Mesocricetus auratus (golden hamster) is the source of this 587-nucleotide long non-coding RNA. RefSeq lists it as uncharacterized. The record is from RefSeq and is a predicted model, not a curated record. The transcript is spliced from 2 exons. NCBI's taxonomy places the organism in Eukaryota, Metazoa, Chordata, Mammalia, Rodentia, Cricetidae.